Molecule: ribosomal RNA, 1435 nt
Filed under: uncultured organism
Description: 16S ribosomal RNA
Rfam family: Bacterial small subunit ribosomal RNA
Source: RNAcentral
CAGGCUUAACACAUGCAAGUCGAGGGGCAUCAGGAAGAAAGCUUGCUUUCUUUGCUGGCGACCGGCGCACGGGUGAGUAACACGUAUCCAACCUGCCCUUUACUCGGGGAUAGCCUUUCGAAAGAAAGAUUAAUACCCGAUGGCAUAAUGAUUCCGCAUGGUUUCAUUAUUAAAGGAUUCCGGUAAAGGAUGGGGAUGCGUUCCAUUAGGUUGUUGGUGAGGUAACGGCUCACCAAGCCUUCGAUGGAUAGGGGUUCUGAGAGGAAGGUCCCCCACAUUGGAACUGAGACGCGGUCCAAACUCCUACGGGAGGCAGCAGUGAGGAAUAUUGGUCAAUGGGCGCUAGCCUGAACCAGCCAAGUAGCGUGAAGGAUGAAGGCUCUAUGGGUCGUAAACUUCUUUUAUAUAAGAAUAAAGUGCAGUAUGUAUACUGUUUUGUAUGUAUUAUAUGAAUAAGGAUCGGCUAACUCCGUGCCAGCAGCCGCGGUAAUACGGAGGAUCCGAGCGUUAUCCGGAUUUAUUGGGUUUAAAGGGAGCGUAGGUGGACUGGUAAGUCAGUUGUGAAAGUUUGCGGCUCAACCGUAAAAUUGCAGUUGAUACUGUCAGUCUUGAGUACAGUAGAGGUGGGCGGAAUUCGUGGUGUAGCGGUGAAAUGCUUAGAUAUCACGAAGAACUCCGAUUGCGAAGGCAGCUCACUGGACUGCAACUGACACUGAUGCUCGAAAGUGUGGGUAUCAAACAGGAUUGGAUACCCUGGUAGUCCACACAGUAAACGAUGAAUACUCGCUGUUUGCGAUAUACAGUAAGCGGCCAAGCGAAAGCAUUAAGUAUUCCACCUGGGGAGUACGCCGGCAACGGUGAAACUCAAAGGAAUUGACGGGGGCCCGCACAAGCGGAGGAACAUGUGGUUUAAUUCGAUGAUACGCGAGGAACCUUACCCGGGCUUAAAUUGCAGUGGAAUGAUGUGGAAACAUGUCAGUGAGCAAUCACCGCUGUGAAGGUGCUGCAUGGUUGUCGUCAGCUCGUGCCGUGAGGUGUCGGCUUAAGUGCCAUAACGAGCGCAACCCUUAUCUUUAGUUACUAACAGGUUAUGCUGAGGACUCUAGAGAGACUGCCGUCGUAAGAUGUGAGGAAGGUGGGGAUGACGUCAAAUCAGCACGGCCCUUACGUCCGGGGCUACACACGUGUUACAAUGGGGGGUACAGAAGGCAGCUAGCGGGUGACCGUAUGCUAAUCCCAAAAGCCUCUCUCAGUUCGGAUCGAAGUCUGCAACCCGACUUCGUGAAGCUGGAUUCGCUAGUAAUCGCGCAUCAGCCACGGCGCGGUGAAUACGUUCCCGGGCCUUGUACACACCGCCCGUCAAGCCAUGGGAGCCGGGGGUACCUGAAGUACGUAACCGCAAGGAUCGUCCUAGGGUAAAACUGGUGACUGGGGC